GCGAGUAUGGCCCUCACGGGUCUAAUCCACCAUAAACACCUUUGUGAACCAGUCAGGGGGACUCGGCCGUGAAAGCCCAGGCGAUUAGCGGAAGGGCCCUCCUUUGCAAACCCGUUUAGAAGUCUUGAAAGUACUUUUGUAUAAUCCUAGUA
Molecule: unclassified non-coding RNA, 152 nt
Filed under: soil metagenome
Description: partial internal transcribed spacer 1
Source: RNAcentral